Long non-coding RNA from Grus americana (Whooping crane), 841 nucleotides. RefSeq lists it as uncharacterized. The record is from RefSeq and is a predicted model, not a curated record. The transcript has 3 exons. NCBI's taxonomy places the organism in Eukaryota, Metazoa, Chordata, Aves, Gruiformes, Gruidae.
GAGGUAUUUUUUUUUGUUGUUGAUUGUUGUGUGUUUAGCUAACUAACUUAGACCAGUAAACAUAGAUACUAAUGUCAGAAAGAAAAGUCAAAACAGCAGACACCUGAUUAAAAGACAGCUAGACAUGUUGAACUGUAACAAAGCCUGAGAUGUUUUGCAUGUCUAGUAAUAGUUUAUUUUACUUAAGUGAUACCAGUGUGCUACAUUAGUAUUGCAUUUAUAUCUGAUAUAUUAAAAUAUUUAUCAUGCUUCUGUCAGAUGACCCCAAAUUGUGCACUUUAUCAAGCUUGUAGUUAUUUUUUACAACAAAUUUACACCUUGCACUGGUGAAUAAAUAUAGAAAACAAUGCAAAAGCAACAUUAUGUGCAAAAUAGCAUCUCACACACUCUUUCUUUGCAGUUAGUUUAAUACUGUUUGUUAGUGUAUUGUGUAUUUGCCCUGUUAACUUUUUUCUUUAAAGGUUUAUGUACUGCAAAAACAUUCAGAAAAUCUCACAAACUUUUGCAACUUACAGCAUGGACAAAAUGGAUGCAGUUUUCACCUAGAAAUCUGAAGCAUAUUCUGUGCACAGUAUGUCCUACAGCCAUAAAAAUGGUUGCUCCACUAACUAUGGUAUUCAUGGACCCUUGAAGAGGGGGAAGCAGGUGGUCACAAUGUCCUCAUAUGAGUGAAAAGCUACGUAAUUCGAAUUGACUUGAUUUUUUCAAGUAAUCCUAGAAAGGGGGAGCAUUCCAUAUAGAAACUGCUGAAACUGCCACAGGUGCUUCUCCGAAAACCUUACAGUUGUGGCAUUGAAUGUUCAGUAUCGCUUCCUUUCUGCACACAAGGCAUACUGUUGAG